AAAGUCGUAACAAGGUCUCCGUUGGUGAACCAGCGGAGGGAUCAUUACAGAGUUAUCCAACUCACCAAAACCCUGUGAACUUACCUACGUUGCCUCGGCGGGGGAAGCCUAUUCGGUAGCUAGCUACUACUCCGUAGGCCUAUCCCGCCGGCGGCCCAUUUAAACUCUGUUUUUAUUUUGGCACUUCUGAAUUAUAAAUAAAUUCGUUAAAACUUUCAACAACGGAUCUCUUGGUUCUG
RNAcentral lists this unclassified non-coding RNA (239 nucleotides) under Ascomycota sp. RNAcentral describes it as "partial contains small subunit ribosomal RNA, internal transcribed spacer 1, and 5.8S ribosomal RNA". The stretch from base 1 to 47 matches the Rfam family "Eukaryotic small subunit ribosomal RNA", at positions 1785 to 1831 of the family's 1831-position model. Lineage: Eukaryota; Fungi; Ascomycota. The record is from RNAcentral.